This 505-nucleotide ribosomal RNA is filed under the name uncultured bacterium. RNAcentral describes it as "bacterial SSU rRNA". It matches the Rfam family "Bacterial small subunit ribosomal RNA", at positions 395 to 903 of the family's 1533-position model. The record is from RNAcentral.
UGCCGCGUGCAGGAAGAAGGCGUUAUGCGUUGUAAACUGCUUUUUUAUAGGAAGAAGGAUCCCUUGCGAGGGAAGGUGACGGUACUAUAAGAAUAAGCACCGGCUAACUCCGUGCCAGCAGCCGCGGUAAUACGGAGGGUGCAAGCGUUGUCCGGAUUUAUUGGGUUUAAAGGGUGCGUAGGCGGUUUAUUAAGUCAGUGGUGAAAGACGGUCGCUCAACGAUUGCAGUGCCAUUGAUACUGGUAGACUUGAGUGAGAUUGAGGUAGCUGGAAUGGAUAGUGUAGCGGUGAAAUGCAUAGAUAUUAUCCAGAACACCGAUUGCGAAGGCAGGUUACUAAGUCUUAACUGACGCUGAGGCACGAAAGUGUGGGGAUCAAACAGGAUUAGAUACCCUGGUAGUCCACACUGUAAACGAUGAUGACUAACUGUUGGCUUUCGGGUCAGUGGUACAGAGAAAUCGUUAAGUCAUCCACCUGGGGAGUACGCCGGCAACGGUGAAACUCA